This 916-nucleotide ribosomal RNA is filed under the name Klebsiella sp. SI-Ar(M)-B1. RNAcentral describes it as "bacterial SSU rRNA". It matches the Rfam family "Bacterial small subunit ribosomal RNA", at positions 37 to 948 of the family's 1533-position model. The record is from RNAcentral. Lineage: Bacteria; Pseudomonadati; Pseudomonadota; Gammaproteobacteria; Enterobacterales; Enterobacteriaceae.
UGGCGGCAGCUACACAUGCAGUCGAGCGGUAGCACAUAGAGCUUGCUCUCGGGUGACGAGCGGCGGACGGGUGAGUAAUGUCUGGGAAACUGCCUGAUGGAGGGGGAUAACUACUGGAAACGGUAGCUAAUACCGCAAAACGUCCCAUGACCAAAGUGGGGGACCUUCGGGCCUCAUGCCAUCAGAUGUGCCCAGAUGGGAUUAUCUGGUAGGUGGGGUAACGGCUCACCUAGGCGACGAUCCCUAACUGGUCUGAGAGGAUGACCAGCCACACUGGAACUGAGACACGGUCCACACUCCUACGGGAGGCAGCAGUGGGGAAUAUUGCACAAUGGGCGCAAGCCUGAUGCCGCCAUGCCGCGUGUGUGAAGAAGGCCUUCGGGUUGUAAAACACUUUCAGCGGGGAGGAAGGCGAUAAGGUUAAUAACCUUGUCGAUUGACGUUACCCGCAGAAGAUACCCCGGCUAGCUCCGUGCCAACAGCCCCGGUAAUACCGAUGGUGCAAGCGUUACUCGGAUUUACUGGACUUAUAGCGCACACAGGCAGUCUGUCUGGUCAGAUGUGACAUCCCCGGGCUCAACCUGGGCACUGCAUUCUAGACUGGCAGGCUAGAGUCUUGUAGAGCGGGGUAGAAUUCCAGGUGUACCUGUGAAAUGCGUAAAGAUCUGGAGGAAUACCGGUGGCCAAGGCGGCACCCUGGACAAUGACUGACGCUCUAGUGCGAAAGCUUUGAGAGCGAACAGGAUUAGAUACCCUGGUAGUCUCCGCUGUAACCGAUGUCAAUUUGGAGGUUGUGCCCUUGAGGCGUGGCUUCCGGAGCUAACGCGUUAAAUCAACAGCCUGGGGAGUACGGCCGCAAAGUUACAACUCUAAUGAAUUGACGAGGGCCCGCACAAGCGGUGGAGCAUUUGGUUUA